CCUGCACCCGCUCAUUCCUGGUCGCUGUGACCUUGUGUAACCCUUGAUGUUCUUCCACUCUGUGCUCCACACUUGUGUAGUUUCUAACAAUUCUUCUGCAUAGCUCUUAACAUUCUUCCACUCUGUGCUCUGUGCUCAUGUAGUCUCUAACAAUUCUUCCAUGUAGCUUCUAACAUUCUCUCACUCUGUGUUCCACACUCAUAUAGUCUCUAACAAUUCUUUCAUGUAGCUCUCAAUGAUUCUCCCAUCUCACACUCUGCACUUAUAUAGUCUCUAACAAUUCUUACACAUAUUUUUUAAUGUUCUUCUGCUCUGUGCUUCACUGUGGAGUGACUUCUGAUAUUCUUUCACUCUGAACUUUUCUCUAUAAGAAUUCUCUUUGUAUAAUUUUUUCUUCUGAUUUCUUUUCUCUUUCUUUUCUUAAUCAAUUCAUAAUCUGUAAUUAGAAUAGUAUCAAAUCAUUAAUCAAAAUACAC
This 476-nucleotide small RNA is filed under the name Histoplasma ohiense. Its description in RNAcentral is "hypothetical lncRNA". Lineage: Eukaryota; Fungi; Ascomycota; Eurotiomycetes; Onygenales; Ajellomycetaceae. The record is from RNAcentral.